GGCAAAGUUCAUAGUCACUGUCAGAGUCUUCGCUGGAAGCCUGUGGGCCCGACUGCAUGCAGAUGGAGUUGCUGUCACCUGGCCACAUCCCUGCCACCUACCGGGUCAGGAGACACUUGUGUGUCCUGCAGACACUGGACCUCAAUGGAUGCUGAACAGCAGAUCAUCCCCAUGCAGUUUCUUGCAGAGACUUGAUAAACAGCAGCAUCGCUCUGGGUACAGCUAGGAAGACAACAGACAGUGUCUUUACUAUUUUUACACUCCACUGGGGAGACUCAGGCGCUGCUCUGUUCUGUACAUGUCCUCGAUGGCAUCCACCUCUACGAAGCUUCACACAAACAGAAUUACUCAGAGGACCAAAAAUUAGAAACAACCAGAAUAUCCAACUGAUAAUAAGCAUAUAGUCAUCUUCAGAACAAAGCGUAUUUUCUCUUAUGUAUCAACAAUACAUCCUAAGGUGAGAAAACUGUGCUGGAGUUAGAGGUGGAUUCCACAUUGAGCUUCAGAUCCUGUCCUUUCUUCUGAAAGACUAUUCUACUUCCUCAGCACCUUGCAGAUUAGGAAACUCACAGCUGCACUCUCCCUGCAUACGCUAAUAUCUACACAUACAUAUGCACAGGACGAUUCAAAAUGGAUGCAUUUGGGAUCGUGUACCUAAUAUGAAUACAAACUCCUCUCUACUAAACAUGGCCUCCAAUUUUUGGUAAACACUUCAAAGUGGUAAUGUACUUUGAGACUUAAAAUGCAUUUGGGUCCUAAUUUCCAAUACCUGCACCUGCUUAUUGGCCAUCAGCAUGUUUUAAUACAGGGUGUGUCACAUCCUUGGUUUCAGUUCAGAACUCUAGGAGCACACAAGCUCUCUCUAUUUCCCCUUUGCUGGACUGCUGAUAUAAUCAAACUACAUGCCUUCAGAACACUGCUCUGGCUCGACUAAAGGAAGUUUACUCCUCCCCCCCACACACACACACAAGAAGAAGCUGUGGAAAGAAGAUAGUUUGAGCAGAAGCAGACAAAAUGCUGGACUUGCUCUCAUCUAUUUUUAAAUGGUUGUCAGAUGUCUGUAACUGACACCCUUAAUUGGAAAUUCUGAGGUUUAAAUAUGUUCAUUAAGAUUUACUAAAAUGUAACAUGAUGAUGAAUCCACUUUUUAAUUGAUUUCCCUUUUGGGCUGAUUUUUAAUCUCAAGGUUUCUUUAAUAUAUUUAGUGACAGUGUAGGUCUGCAUAAGUCAUUUUUAAAUACCCAGUGGUUUUCCAGCAACUUGAUCUAUUCCUGCACAACACACUGCUGCCCACCUAGAAAGCUAACAUGUUCUAAUCAUUCAGAUAAUCCAAUGCAAAAUGAAUAUUUGAAAAAAAUAUUCAAACACCCAGGCCUAGUAUCAACUAAAUAUUUGCCUUGAUUCCUCAAGUUUACAGUGGAUAUGAUUUUCAUUUACAAAUCGAUCCUUUGGGCCAUUUUUUGUGUUUGUUAUUUCUAACUGCUAAGACAGAUGUGAAAGGAAUGGUUUUAAUCAGUGGCAAACCAAAAUAAACAAACUUUUUAAAAUGU
Molecule: long non-coding RNA, 1550 nt
Organism: Mesocricetus auratus (golden hamster)
Lineage: Eukaryota; Metazoa; Chordata; Mammalia; Rodentia; Cricetidae
Exons: 5
Source: RefSeq, a predicted model, not a curated record